CCUACGGGAGGCAGCAGUGGGGAAUCUUGCGCAAUGGGCGAAAGCCUGACGCAGCCAUGCCGCGUGAAUGAUGAAGGUCUUAGGAUUGUAAAAUUCUUUCACCGGGGACGAUAAUGACGGUACCCGGAGAAGAAGCCCCGGCUAACUUCGUGCCAGCAGCCGCGGUAAUACGAAGGGGGCUAGCGUUGCUCGGAAUUACUGGGCGUAAAGGGAGCGUAGGCGGAUAGUUUAGUCAGAGGUGAAAGCCCAGGGCUCAACCUUGGAAUUGCCUUUGAUACUGGCUAUCUUGAGUGUGGGAGAGGUAUGUGGAACUCCGAGUGUAGAGGUGAAAUUCGUAGAUAUUCGGAAGAACACCAGUGGCGAAGGCGACAUACUGGCCCAUUACUGACGCUGAGGCUCGAAAGCGUGGGGAGCAAACAGGAUUAGAUACCCUGGUAGUCCACGCUGUAAACGAUGAGUGCUAGUUGUCGGCAUGCAUGCAUGUCGGUGACGCAGCUAACGACAUAAGACACUCCGCCGUCGGGGAGGUACGGUCGGCGAAGUAAGUUAAAACUUAACGAAAGUAAAGUUAGUUACGGCGUUGAGACGUGCCGAACGGACGACGACGAGGGGAGGAGG
RNAcentral lists this ribosomal RNA (618 nucleotides) under uncultured bacterium. RNAcentral's name for it is "bacterial SSU rRNA". The stretch from base 1 to 518 matches the Rfam family "Bacterial small subunit ribosomal RNA", at positions 338 to 873 of the family's 1533-position model. The record is from RNAcentral.